AACGAACGCUGGCGGCGUGCCUAACACAUGCAAGUCGUGCGAGAAAGUUCCUUCGGGAGCGAGUAAAGCGGCGCACGGGUGAGUAACACGUAGGUAACCUGCCCCCCAGUCUGGAACAACUAGAGGAAGCUCUAGCUAAUGCCGGAUGAGACCACGAUCCCUUCGGGGGUUGCGGCCAAAGAUGGCCUCUACUUGUAAGCUAUCGCUGAGGGAUGGGCCUGCGGGCCAUUUGCUUGUUGGUGAGGUAACGGCUCACCAAGGCUGUGAUGGCUAGCUGGUCUGAGAGGAUGACCAGCCACACUGGGACUGAGACACGGCCCAGACUCCUACGGGAGGCAGCAGUGGGGAAUAUUGCGCAAUGGGCGAAAGCCUGACGCAGCGACGCCGCGUGGGUGAUGAAGGCCU
This 405-nucleotide ribosomal RNA is filed under the name uncultured bacterium. RNAcentral describes it as "bacterial SSU rRNA". It matches the Rfam family "Bacterial small subunit ribosomal RNA", at positions 29 to 417 of the family's 1533-position model. The record is from RNAcentral.